Peromyscus eremicus (cactus mouse) is the source of this 582-nucleotide long non-coding RNA. RefSeq lists it as uncharacterized. The record is from RefSeq and is a predicted model, not a curated record. NCBI's taxonomy places the organism in Eukaryota, Metazoa, Chordata, Mammalia, Rodentia, Cricetidae. The transcript has 3 exons.
CCCCCAUUAGCAUAUAGGGAGUAGCACUGUUAGGAGGUGUGGCUUUGUUAGAGUAGGUAUGGACUUGUUGGAAGAAGUGUGUCACAGUUUUUUCCUGUUACUUUCUGAUCAAGAUGUAACUAGCACCAUGUCUGCCUGCAGGGCACUAUGCUUCCUGCCAUGAUGUCAGUGGACUGAACCUCUGGAACUACUGCUGGUCCUGUACCUCAAAGCCCGAUGAAAUCACAAGAUGGAAGGAGAAUGUUCAAACAGAGGAGUGCUUUCAUUCUAGGGCUGGCCAUUUGAAUUUCUUACUAUAAAGAAAUGAUCAGUGAGAAGAUAGAUACAUAUACCCAAGGAAUACUCAAUCAUACCAUAAGGACACAUGCUCAACUAUGUUCAUAGAAGCAUUAUUUGUAAUAGCCAGAACCUGGAAACAACCUAGAUGCCCUUCAACUGAAGAAUGGAUAAAUAAAAUGUGGUACAUAUACACAAUGGCGUGCUACUCAGCAGAGAAAAACAAUGAUUCAUGAGGUUUUCAGGCAAAUGGAUGGAACUAGAAAAUAUCAUCCUGAGUGAGCCAACCCAGAUCCAGAAAGACAA